GUGUUUGCUUUGGCAGCACAUGUACUAGAAUUGGAUUGAUAGAGAUUAGUGUGGCCCCUGCAUAAGGAUGACAUGCAAAUUUGUGAAGCAGUCCAUAUUUUA
This is a small nuclear RNA of Fukomys damarensis (Damara mole-rat), 102 nucleotides long. Lineage: Eukaryota; Metazoa; Chordata; Mammalia; Rodentia; Bathyergidae. The record is from Ensembl.